This 253-nucleotide ribosomal RNA is filed under the name uncultured bacterium. RNAcentral's name for it is "partial 16S ribosomal RNA". It matches the Rfam family "Bacterial small subunit ribosomal RNA", at positions 524 to 776 of the family's 1533-position model. The record is from RNAcentral.
UACGUAGGGUGCGAGCGUUAAUCGGAAUUACUGGGCGUAAAGCGCACGUAGGCGGCUUUCUAAGUCAGGGGUGAAAUCCUGGAGCUCAACUCCAGAACUGCCUUCGAUACUGGCGAUCUUGAGUCUGGAAGAGGUGAGUGGAACUCCUAGUGUAGAGGUGGAAUUCGUAGAUAUUAGGAAGAACACCAGUGGCGAAGGCGGCUCACUGGUCCGGUACUGACGCUGAGGUGCGAAAGCGUGGGGAGCGAACAGG